This 253-nucleotide ribosomal RNA is filed under the name uncultured bacterium. RNAcentral's name for it is "partial 16S ribosomal RNA". It matches the Rfam family "Bacterial small subunit ribosomal RNA", at positions 524 to 776 of the family's 1533-position model. The record is from RNAcentral.
UACAGAGGUCCCAAGCGUUGUUCGGAUUCACUGGGCGUAAAGGGUGCGUAGGUGGUCGGGUAAGUUCGAUGUGAAAUCCCCGAGCUCAACUCGGGAACGGCAUUGAAUACUAUCCGGCUCGAGGGUCGGAGGGGAGACUGGAAUUCUCGGUGUAGCAGUGAAAUGCGUAGAUAUCGAGAGGAACACCAGUGGCGAAGGCGAGUCUCUGGACGACUCCUGACACUGAGGCACGAAAGCUAGGGGAGCAAACAGG